Molecule: ribosomal RNA, 606 nt
Filed under: uncultured bacterium
Lineage: Bacteria
Description: bacterial SSU rRNA
Rfam family: Bacterial small subunit ribosomal RNA
Source: RNAcentral
CACCAGNGGCGAAAGCGGCUCUCUGGUCUGUCACUGACGCUGAGGCUCGAAAGCGUGGGUAGCGAACAGGAUUAGAUACCCUGGUAGUCCACGCCGUAAACGAUGAGUGCUAGGUGUUAGGCCCUUUCCGGGGCUUAGUGCCGGAGCUAACGCAAUAAGCACUCCGCCUGGGGAGUACGACCGCAAGGUUGAGACUCAAAGGAAUUGACGGGGGCCCGCACAAGCGGUGGAGCAUGUGGUUUAAUUCGAAACAACGCGAAGAACCUUACCAGGUCUUGACAUCCCGAUGCUAUUCUUAGAGAUAGGAAGUUACUUCGGUACAUCGGAGACAGGUGGUGCAUGGUUGUCGUCAGCUCGUGUCGUGAGAUGUUGGGUUAAGNNNNNNANCGAGCGCAACCCUUAUUGUUAGUUGCCAUCAUUAAGUUGGGCACUCUAGCGAGACUGCCGGUAAUAAACCGGAGGAAGGUGGGGAUGACGUCAAAUCAUCAUGCCCCUUAUGACCUGGGCUACACACGUGCUACAAUGGUCGGUACAACGAGUUGCGAGCCGGUGACGGCAAGCUAAUCUCUGAAAGCCGAUCUCAGUUCGGAUUGGAGGCUGCAACUC